CAGCCGCCGCGGUAAAACGGAGGGUGCAAGCGUUAUCCGGAUUUAUUGGGUUUAAAGGGUCCGUAGGCGGAUCUGUAAGUCAGUGGUGAAAUCUCACAGCUUAACUGUGAAACUGCCAUUGAUACUGCAGGUCUUGAGUAAAUUUGAAGUGGCUGGAAUAAGUAGUGUAGCGGUGAAAUGCAUAGAUAUUACUUAGAACACCAAUUGCGAAGGCAGGUCACUAAGAUUUAACUGACGCUGAUGGACGAAAGCGUGGGGAGCGAACAGGAUUAGAUACCCGGGUAGUCCCUGUCUCUUAUAA
RNAcentral lists this ribosomal RNA (301 nucleotides) under uncultured bacterium. RNAcentral describes it as "partial 16S ribosomal RNA". It matches the Rfam family "Bacterial small subunit ribosomal RNA", at positions 509 to 809 of the family's 1533-position model. The record is from RNAcentral.